GUCUGGAGGAGAAGGAGGCCCACGCUGGCACGUGUUGUUGGUUCAGUUCAGGUCCUCGGCUCAGUCUCAGACUCUUCUUUUCUCUUCCUGUCCCUUUGUGACCGGGGGGGGGGGACUGAGCCCAAGCCCUCGGCGCUCCGCCGGGAACGCUGCUCUGUUUGAAGACGGAUUAAGUCCUCGUUUAAAAAGACUGAAGGAAUUUGGCAGCCAGAGAAAAGAUUGAAUCAGUGCUGGGGGCGGAGCUAC
This is a long non-coding RNA of Thalassophryne amazonica, 246 nucleotides long. RefSeq lists it as uncharacterized. The record is from RefSeq and is a predicted model, not a curated record. NCBI's taxonomy places the organism in Eukaryota, Metazoa, Chordata, Actinopteri, Batrachoidiformes, Batrachoididae. The transcript is spliced from 3 exons.